Molecule: long non-coding RNA, 225 nt
Filed under: Lathyrus oleraceus (garden pea)
Lineage: Eukaryota; Viridiplantae; Streptophyta; Magnoliopsida; Fabales; Fabaceae
Description: Pisum sativum (pea) long non-coding RNA (PSAT_LNC003044)
Source: RNAcentral
CCAUAUCCACCCAAAUAAAAAAAAAUUCAUGAUUAAAGAUAAAAUAAAAAUUAAAUUGAAAAAUACAUAUCAAAAGUUUCAUAUUUUAACAAAAUUAAUUACCUCCUUCCUCAUCCUCCCAAUCCUCCUCAUCUCCUCCUCCAAGACCUUGAUUCAUAUGCGAGAUCAUAAAUUAUUCAAAUCUUUGUGCGUGCUCAUUUGCAAACCCGCAUUGCUUUCUCAUAU